Molecule: ribosomal RNA, 1015 nt
Filed under: Serratia marcescens
Lineage: Bacteria; Pseudomonadati; Pseudomonadota; Gammaproteobacteria; Enterobacterales; Yersiniaceae
Description: bacterial SSU rRNA
Rfam family: Bacterial small subunit ribosomal RNA
Source: RNAcentral
AAGGACAGCUUACACAUGCAAGUCGAGCGGUAGCACAGGGGAGCUUGCUCCCUGGGUGACGAGCGGCGGACGGGUGAGUAAUGUCUGGGAAACUGCCUGAUGGAGGGGGAUAACUACUGGAAACGGUAGCUAAUACCGCAUAACGUCGCAAGACCAAAGAGGGGGACCUUCGGGCCUCUUGCCAUCAGAUGUGCCCAGAUGGGAUUAGCUAGUAGGUGGGGUAAUGGCUCACCUAGGCGACGAUCCCUAGCUGGUCUGAGAGGAUGACCAGCCACACUGGAACUGAGACACGGUCCAGACUCCUACGGGAGGCAGCAGUGGGGAAUAUUGCACAAUGGGCGCAAGCCUGAUGCAGCCAUGCCGCGUGUGUGAAGAAGGCCUUCGGGUUGUAAAGCACUUUCAGCGAGGAGGAAGGUGGUGAACUUAAUACGUUCAUCAAUUGACGUUACUCGCAGAAGAAGCACCGGCUAACUCCGUGCCAGCAGCCGCGGUAAUACGGAGGGUGCAAGCGUUAAUCGGAAUUACUGGGCGUAAAGCGCACGCAGGCGGUUUGUUAAGUCAGAUGUGAAAUCCCCGGGCUCAACCUGGGAACUGCAUUUGAAACUGGCAAGCUAGAGUCUCGUAGAGGGGGGUAGAAUUCCAGGUGUAGCGGUGAAAUGCGUAGAGAUCUGGAGGAAUACCGGUGGCGAAGGCGGCCCCCUGGACGAAGACUGACGCUCAGGUGCGAAAGCGUGGUGAGCAAACAGGAUUAGAUACCCUGGUAGUCCACGCUGUAAACGAUGUCUAUGGAGGUUGUGCCCUUGAGGCGUGGCUUCCGGAGCUAACGCGUUAAAUCGACCGCCUGGGGAGUACGGCCGCAAGGUUAAAACUCACAUGAAUUGACGGGGGCCCGCACAAGCGGUGGAACAUGUGGUUAUUCAAUGCACCGCGAAGACCUACCUACUCUGACCUCCCAGAAAUUUCAAAAUAUUUGUUCCUUCGAAAAUCUGAAAAAGUACCGCAUGGUUGUCCUCGC